CACUUCUCAAUGAGCUCCUUCCUGCCAACAGUCUGUGGCAGCCUAUGGAUUCGCACGAGAAGGAUAUUAACUGUUCAGUAGUGGCAAGCUCACGAUGGGGCUCCAUCCCCUGUGAGAAAGCACUGCUGUUCUACACUU
Dryobates pubescens (Downy woodpecker) is the source of this 138-nucleotide small nucleolar RNA. RefSeq annotates it as small nucleolar RNA SNORA75. The transcript has a single exon. The record is from RefSeq and is a predicted model, not a curated record. NCBI's taxonomy places the organism in Eukaryota, Metazoa, Chordata, Aves, Piciformes, Picidae.